Molecule: ribosomal RNA, 173 nt
Filed under: uncultured bacterium
Lineage: Bacteria
Description: partial 16S ribosomal RNA
Rfam family: Bacterial small subunit ribosomal RNA
Source: RNAcentral
CUCCUACGGGAGGCAGCAGUGGGGAAUCUUGCACAAUGGGGGAAACCCUGAUGCAGCGACGCCGCGUGAGCGAUGAAGCCCUUCGGGGUGUAAAGCUCUUUCGACGAGAACGAUAAUGACGGUACCCGAAGAAGAAGCUGCGGCUAACUACGUGCCAGCAGCCGCGGUAAUAC